GAAACGCAAAUCGCAUGUCUCAGAUAAGCCGAAUAUGGUAAAUCCGCGAAUGGCUCAUUAUAACAGCCAUAAUCUAUGGAAUUUAGUGAUCUACUCGGAUCACUGUACUAAUUGUAGAGCCAAUACGUGCAAUCAAACCCAGACUUCGGAAUGGGUGCCUUUAUUGGAUCAAAACCAAUUGGCUUCGGCCAUCUAUUGGUGACUCUAAAUAACUUAGCUGAUCGCAUGGGCUUGUCCCGGCGACAUAUCCUUCGAGUGUCUGCCUUAUCAACUGUCGAUGGUAGUUUAUUGGACUACCAUGGUUGUAACGGGUAACGGAGAAUAAGGGUUCGACUCCGGAGAGGGAGCCUGAGAUACGGCUACCACAUCCAAGGAAGGCAGCAGGCGCGCAAAUUACCCACUCUCAGAACGAGGAGGUAGUGACGAAAAAUAACGAGACAGUCUUCUAUGAGGUCUGUCAUCGGAAUGGGUACAAUUUAAACCCUUUAACGAGGAUCUAUUGGAGGGCAAGUCUGGUGCCAGCAGCCGCGGUAAUUCCAGCUCCAAUAGCGUAUAUUAAAGUUGUUGCGGUUAAAAAGCUCGUAGUUGGAUCUGCGUCCAUCAAGACCGGUAGCCCAUUGGGUUUCACUGGUUCUUGUGGACUCCUUACUAGUUUUUCCAUGGUGCUCUUAACUGAGUGCCUUGUAGACUAGUGCUUUUACUUUGAAAAAAUUAGAGUGCUCAAAGCAGGCGUUUGCCUGAAUAGUGGUGCAUGGAAUAAUGGAAUAGGACCUCGGUUCUAUUUUGUUGGUUUUCGAGCUCGAGGUAUGAUUAAGAGGGACAGACGGGGCAUUCGUACUGCUGCGUUAGAGUGAAAUUCUUGGAUCGCAGCGUGACGAACAACUGCGAAAGCAUUUGCCAGAUGUUCUCAUUAAUCAGACGAUAGUUAGAGUUCGAGCGAUCAGAUACGCCCUAGUCUAACCGUAACGAUGCAACUAGCAAUCCGCUGGUGUAAUUUGACUCACGGGCGGCUGCCG
Molecule: ribosomal RNA, 1016 nt
Filed under: uncultured eukaryote
Lineage: Eukaryota
Description: SSU rRNA
Rfam family: Eukaryotic small subunit ribosomal RNA
Source: RNAcentral